CCUACGGGAGGCAGCAGUGGGGAAUAUUGCACAAUGGGGGAAACCCUGAUGCAGCAACGCCGCGUGAAGGAAGACGGUUUUCGGAUUGUAAACUUCUGUUCUUAGUGAAGAAUAAUGACGGUAGCUAAGGAGCAAGCCACCGCUGACCACGGGCCAGCAGCCGGGGUAAUACGUAGGUGGGAAGCGUUGUCCGGAAUUACUGGGUGGUAAGGGAGAGCAGGCGGGAAGCCAAGUCACCUGUGAAAAGUACAGGCUUAACUUGUUGACUGCAGUUGAAACUGGGUUUCUUGAGUGAAGUAGAGGUUGGCGGAAUUCCGAGUGUAGCGGUGAAAUGCGUAGAUAUUCGGAGGAACACCGGUGGCGAAGGCGGCCAACUGGGCUUUAACUGACGCUGAGGCUCGAAAGUGUGGGGAGCAAACAGGAUUAGAUACCCGAGUAGUC
RNAcentral lists this ribosomal RNA (441 nucleotides) under uncultured bacterium. Its description in RNAcentral is "partial 16S ribosomal RNA". It matches the Rfam family "Bacterial small subunit ribosomal RNA", at positions 338 to 795 of the family's 1533-position model. The record is from RNAcentral.